UGGUAAAAAAAAGUGAUAAAGUUGGUCUUGCAUAAUUCCAAAGUAGAUUUUGGCAGCCGAGGUGGUGUCUUCAUAAGCCUUACUUGCUUUCUUUGUCAGCUAAUGUCA
Molecule: long non-coding RNA, 108 nt
Organism: Thalassophryne amazonica
Lineage: Eukaryota; Metazoa; Chordata; Actinopteri; Batrachoidiformes; Batrachoididae
Exons: 3
Source: RefSeq, a predicted model, not a curated record